RNAcentral lists this ribosomal RNA (465 nucleotides) under uncultured Selenomonas sp. RNAcentral's name for it is "bacterial SSU rRNA". It matches the Rfam family "Bacterial small subunit ribosomal RNA", at positions 338 to 795 of the family's 1533-position model. Lineage: Bacteria; Bacillati; Bacillota; Negativicutes; Selenomonadales; Selenomonadaceae. The record is from RNAcentral.
CCUACGGGUGGCAGCAGUGGGGAAUCUUCCGCAAUGGGCGCAAGCCUGACGGAGCAACGCCGCGUGAGUGAAGAAGGUCUUCGGAUCGUAAAGCUCUGUUGACGGGGACGAACGUGCGAGAGGUGAAUAAACUCUUGCAAUGACGGUACCUGUCGAGGAAGCCACGGCUAACUACGUGCCAGCAGCCGCGGUAAUACGUAGGUGGCGAGCGUUGUCCGGAAUCAUUGGGCGUAAAGGGAGCGCAGGCGGGCAUAUAAGUCUUUCUUAAAAGUGCGGGGCUCAACCCCGUGAUGGGAAAGAAACUAUAUGUCUUGAGUACAGGAGAGGAAAGCGGAAUUCCCAGUGUAGCGGUGAAAUGCGUAGAUAUUGGGAGGAACACCAGUGGCGAAGGCGGCUUUCUGGACUGCAACUGACGCUGAGGCUCGAAAGCCAGGGGAGCGAACGGGAUUAGAUACCCCAGUAGUC